RNAcentral lists this ribosomal RNA (465 nucleotides) under uncultured bacterium. Its description in RNAcentral is "partial 16S ribosomal RNA". It matches the Rfam family "Bacterial small subunit ribosomal RNA", at positions 28 to 507 of the family's 1533-position model. The record is from RNAcentral.
GACGAACGCUGGCGGCGUGCUUAACACAUGCAAGUCGAACGGAAAGGCCCUGCUUGCAGGGUACUCGAGUGGCGAACGGGUGAGUAACACGUGGGUGAUCUGCCCUGCACUUCGGGAUAAGCCUGGGAAACUGGGUCUAAUACCGGAUAGGAGCCAUUCUUAGUGUGAUGGUUGGAAAGUUUUUUCGGUGUAGGAUGAGCUCGCGGCCUAUCAGCUUGUUGGUGGGGUAAUGGCCUACCAAGGCGGCGACGGGUAGCCGGCCUGAGAGGGUGGACGGCCACAUUGGGACUGAGAUACGGCCCAGACGCCUACGGGAGGCAGCAGUGGGGAAUAUUGCACAAUGGGCGCAAGCCGGAUGCAGCGACGCCGCGUGGGGGAUGACGGCCUUCGGGUUGUAAACUCCUUUCGCUAGGGACGAAGCUUUUUGUGACGGUACCUAGAUAAGAAGCACCGGCUAACUACGUG